RNAcentral lists this long non-coding RNA (2056 nucleotides) under Anas platyrhynchos platyrhynchos (common mallard). RNAcentral's name for it is "lncRNA (ENSAPLG00000028442.1)". Lineage: Eukaryota; Metazoa; Chordata; Aves; Anseriformes; Anatidae. The record is from RNAcentral.
AUUAUUUAGUGGAGCUGUGCACCAGGAAUAUAAAGAAAAUAGAUAGGAACAGCUGAAGGGAAAACAGCUGGGCAUACUUUGUCAACAGUAGUUAAGUCAGUACAGUCUGACAGGAAAAGGUAGUGCUGUAGACAACUUGUGAAUAGCCUGACUUACAAAUGCCCCAUUUUAGAUAAGCUUUUGCAGUGACUGUUUUUCAGAUUAAAAAAAAAAAAAAAAAAGCCUAGUGGGCUGUUACUGUCUUGAUUUUCAUGUACAGGGCUAUAAUGCUUAAUUUUCAUCCCACUGUAAGAAUUCUGAUCUAUUUAGUUUUGUUGCAGUUUUCCAUUUAAAAAACUGUUUCCUGAUUCUCUGUCAUCCUCCAUGCCCCUGCAGUUGUGCUCUGGUGCCCCAUGGCUCACGUGCUUUGCCUGCCGAUGCUUCCCUGCUCCUCCUUCCUCAGGCUGAGGGCUGGGGCCGCUGGUUCUGUAAGAAAAAGAAAGGAAACAUGAAGUAUUCUGAUCACAAGCACCUCUUCACAGGAAGGAAGAACGCACUGUUUCUAAAUAUAAAUACAGGUAGUAUGCUUAAUAAAUUCAAGAAUAGCUGUUUGUUUCUGAGGGAAAAACACACACUUUGUUCUCUGUCCUGAAAGAAAGGAAGCAGGCUUUGGGAGGGACUUGCAAGGAAGCGUUGCCUUUCCAGCUGCAGUGAGCCUGGAGGUGCCGAAUGUCCCCUUGGCCAUACUUCUUCCAGAAUCUGUGACACUCUGAGACGGCCACAGCAGCUGUCUUUAGGGCUCAUCGCAUCCCUUGUACGUCCUUGCCCUAGCUACUGGCACAGUGCAUGCAGAGGGUGGGCAGGGCAGCAAGUGUUAUGGUAGGUUUGUGACCUCACUGUGUGUCAGCGAUCACCUGUCACUGAUGAGUAAGGGAACAAAUAUGAUCAAGUAGUGAGGGACCUUGUGUUCUGCAUUAUGGUCCGUGUACAAGUGAGGGAGUGUCACAAAAAUCCUGAGUGGUGUUUGUGUGUGCUGAGAUCAUCGUUUCUCUAUUGCUGGAUGCUGCGUAACUUACCUGUGAUAGUCUGUAUGAAGAGACACUUGACCUUUGUGAUGGUUUGGGUUGGCUCACUGCAAAGAUCUUUGCUGAGACAGUAUUGCUUCCUACAAUGCUGAGUCGACAGUUACAUGUUAAUUGCAAAGUAGGUAGCAGGUGUUUUAUAAAUAUGUUUGUGCUAAUGACUUCCUAAAAUGCUGUAUUUUUCAGGAUCAAUGAAGCUGUUAAGGGUUAUAGUCCUGAGAGUGGCAGAUAGCCACAGGGCUGAGACAUUAUAUAUUGCUAUCAAAGAUCAGAAUAACUAUUUAACCAUUUACAUGCAUUCAGAAUGAUGAAAAAUGUUUUUUUUUUUUUUAGCUGAGCUGAGGAAAAGAGGCCAAAAAGGAAGGAAAAAAAAAGCAUAGAGAAUGUAAAGUGAGGGAGAAAAAAUGAUGUUUGUGUUUGUGCUUUAAAACAAACAAACAAACAAACAACACAACAUCACCUUAAAUGUUUUUACUGUCUAAAAUAGUAUGCCUUGUAUGAGGUACUACUGAGAUGUUGGUGUGUUUUCAGGUGAUUAUCUCAUGAUAUGUUUUGAUGAAGUCUACAAUUGCAAUGACAAUUAGUUUCCACUGGUGGUAAUUUAUAAAGCCUUUAGCUUGCACUCUUACCAUUUGUCCCUACUCUGCAGAUCAAGUUCUUUUAUUCCUUCACAGACAUUAUUUUUUCUUACAGUAUGUCAACUUCUUUUCUGUAAUCAUAUUUAUCUAAAGAGAUUAAAACAGAGUAACUCUAAGGCUCCCAUAACACAAACCCAUUCUUUCUCAGAGUUGGCCUUUUCUUUGAUUAUUUCUAGUCACAGGUAUAGCAGCAUUGCUUUAAUGAGUUCUGUGUUUUGAAACUUAAUUGCCUUUAAUUUACUCCCUGUAGUAUUUGCUGCAAGUACUAUUUUAGUAGCUAAAUCACUGGAAAGUUUCUUAAAUAACUUGAAAAAAGCAAAAAAUAAAAAAAUAAUAAUAAAAAAAAAUUAGAAGUGA